RNAcentral lists this transfer RNA (74 nucleotides) under Sphaerodactylus townsendi. RNAcentral's name for it is "tRNA-Ala". It matches the Rfam family "tRNA". Rfam says of the family: Transfer RNA (tRNA) molecules are approximately 80 nucleotides in length. Their secondary structure includes four short double-helical elements and three loops (D, anti-codon, and T loops). Further hydrogen bonds mediate the characteristic L-shaped molecular structure. tRNAs have two regions of fundamental functional importance: the anti-codon, which is responsible for specific mRNA codon recognition, and the 3' end, to which the tRNAs corresponding amino acid is attached (by aminoacyl-tRNA synthetases). tRNAs cope with the degeneracy of the genetic code in two manners: having more than one tRNA (with a specific anti-codon) for a particular amino acid; and 'wobble' base-pairing, i.e. permitting non-standard base-pairing at the 3rd anti-codon position. The record is from RNAcentral. Lineage: Eukaryota; Metazoa; Chordata; Lepidosauria; Squamata; Sphaerodactylidae.
GGAGGGCUGUGACUCAGUGGAGGAGCAUCUGCUUGGCGUGCAGGAGGUCCUAGGUUCAAUCCCCAGCAUCUCCA